RNAcentral lists this ribosomal RNA (2899 nucleotides) under Escherichia coli DEC4F. RNAcentral describes it as "bacterial LSU rRNA". It matches the Rfam family "Bacterial large subunit ribosomal RNA". The record is from RNAcentral. Lineage: Bacteria; Pseudomonadati; Pseudomonadota; Gammaproteobacteria; Enterobacterales; Enterobacteriaceae.
UAAGCGACUAAGCGUACACGGUGGAUGCCCUGGCAGUCAGAGGCGAUGAAGGACGUGCUAAUCUGCGAUAAGCGUCGGUAAGGUGAUAUGAACCGUUAUAACCGGCGAUUUCCGAAUGGGGAAACCCAGUGUGUUUCGACACACUAUCAUUAACUGAAUCCAUAGGUUAAUGAGGCGAACCGGGGGAACUGAAACAUCUAAGUACCCCGAGGAAAAGAAAUCAACCGAGAUUCCCCCAGUAGCGGCGAGCGAACGGGGAGGAGCCCAGAGCCUGAAUCAGUGUGUGUGUUAGUGGAAGCGUCUGGAAAGGCGCGCGAUACAGGGUGACAGCCCCGUACACAAAAAUGCACAUACUGUGAGCUCGAUGAGUAGGGCGGGACACGUGGUAUCCUGUCUGAAUAUGGGGGGACCAUCCUCCAAGGCUAAAUACUCCUGACUGACCGAUAGUGAACCAGUACCGUGAGGGAAAGGCGAAAAGAACCCCGGCGAGGGGAGUGAAAAAGAACCUGAAACCGUGUACGUACAAGCAGUGGGAGCCUCUUUUAUGGGGUGACUGCGUACCUUUUGUAUAAUGGGUCAGCGACUUAUAUUCUGUAGCAAGGUUAACCGAAUAGGGGAGCCGAAGGGAAACCGAGUCUUAACCGGGCGCUAAGUUGCAGGGUAUAGACCCGAAACCCGGUGAUCUAGCCAUGGGCAGGUUGAAGGUUGGGUAACACUAACUGGAGGAACGAACCGACUAAUGUUGAAAAAUUAGCGGAUGACUUGUGGCUGGGGGUGAAAGGCCAAUCAAACCGGGAGAUAGCUGGUUCUCCCCGAAAGCUAUUUAGGUAGCGCCUCGUGAAUUCAUCUCCGGGGGUAGAGCACUGUUUCGGCAAGGGGGUCAUCCCGACUUACCAACCCGAUGCAAACUGCGAAUACCGGAGAAUGUUAUCACGGGAGACACACGGCGGGUGCUAACGUCCGUCGUGAAGAGGGAAACAACCCAGACCGCCAGCUAAGGUCCCAAAGUCAUGGUUAAGUGGGAGACGAUGUGGGAAGGCCCAGACAGCCAGGAUGUUGGCUUAGAAGCAGCCAUCAUUUAAAGAAAGCGUAAUAGCUCACUGGUCGAGUCGGCCUGCGCGGAAGAUGUAACGGGGCUAAACCAUGCACCGAAGCUGCGGCAGCGACACUGUGUGUUGUUGGGUAGGGGAGCGUUCUGUAAGCCUGUGAAGGUGUACUGUAAGGUAUGCUGGAGGUAUCAGAAGUGCGAAUGCUGACAUAAGUAACGAUAAAGCGGGUGAAAAGCCCGCUCGCCGGAAGACCAAGGGUUCCUGUCCAACGUUAAUCGGGGCAGGGUGAGUCGACCCCUAAGGCGAGGCCGAAAGGCGUAGUCGAUGGGAAACAGGUUAAUAUUCCUGUACUUGGUGUUACUGCGAAGGGGGGACGGAGAAGGCUAUGUUGGCCGGGCGACGGUUGUCCCGGUUUAAGCGUGUAGGCUGGUUUUCCAGGCAAAUCCGGAAAAUCAAGGCUGAGGCGUGAUGACGAGGCACUACGGUGCUGAAGCAACAAAUGCCCUGCUUCCAGGAAAAGCCUCUAAGCAUCAGGUAACAUCAAAUCGUACCCCAAACCGACACAGGUGGUCAGGUAGAGAAUACCAAGGCGCUUGAGAGAACUCGGGUGAAGGAACUAGGCAAAAUGGUGCCGUAACUUCGGGAGAAGGCACGCUGAUAUGUAGGUGAAGUCCCUCGCGGAUGGAGCUGAAAUCAGUCGAAGAUACCAGCUGGCUGCAACUGUUUAUUAAAAACACAGCACUGUGCAAACACGAAAGUGGACGUAUACGGUGUGACGCCUGCCCGGUGCCGGAAGGUUAAUUGAUGGGGUCAGCGCAAGCGAAGCUCUUGAUCGAAGCCCCGGUAAACGGCGGCCGUAACUAUAACGGUCCUAAGGUAGCGAAAUUCCUUGUCGGGUAAGUUCCGACCUGCACGAAUGGCGUAAUGAUGGCCAGGCUGUCUCCACCCGAGACUCAGUGAAAUUGAACUCGCUGUGAAGAUGCAGUGUACCCGCGGCAAGACGGAAAGACCCCGUGAACCUUUACUAUAGCUUGACACUGAACAUUGAGCCUUGAUGUGUAGGAUAGGUGGGAGGCUUUGAAGUGUGGACGCCAGUCUGCAUGGAGCCGACCUUGAAAUACCACCCUUUAAUGUUUGAUGUUCUAACGUGGACCCGUGAUCCGGGUUGCGGACAGUGUCUGGUGGGUAGUUUGACUGGGGCGGUCUCCUCCUAAAGAGUAACGGAGGAGCACGAAGGUUGGCUAAUCCUGGUCGGACAUCAGGAGGUUAGUGCAAUGGCAUAAGCCAGCUUGACUGCGAGCGUGACGGCGCGAGCAGGUGCGAAAGCAGGUCAUAGUGAUCCGGUGGUUCUGAAUGGAAGGGCCAUCGCUCAACGGAUAAAAGGUACUCCGGGGAUAACAGGCUGAUACCGCCCAAGAGUUCAUAUCGACGGCGGUGUUUGGCACCUCGAUGUCGGCUCAUCACAUCCUGGGGCUGAAGUAGGUCCCAAGGGUAUGGCUGUUCGCCAUUUAAAGUGGUACGCGAGCUGGGUUUAGAACGUCGUGAGACAGUUCGGUCCCUAUCUGCCGUGGGCGCUGGAGAACUGAGGGGGGCUGCUCCUAGUACGAGAGGACCGGAGUGGACGCAUCACUGGUGUUCGGGUUGUCAUGCCAAUGGCACUGCCCGGUAGCUAAAUGCGGAAGAGAUAAGUGCUGAAAGCAUCUAAGCACGAAACUUGCCCCGAGAUGAGUUCUCCCUGACCCUUUAAGGGUCCUGAAGGAACGUUGAAGACGACGACGUUGAUAGGCCGGGUGUGUAAGCGCAGCGAUGCGUUGAGCUAACCGGUACUAAUGAACCGUGAGGCUUAACCU